Molecule: ribosomal RNA, 253 nt
Filed under: uncultured bacterium
Lineage: Bacteria
Description: partial 16S ribosomal RNA
Rfam family: Bacterial small subunit ribosomal RNA
Source: RNAcentral
UACGGGGGGAGCAAGCGUUGUUCGGAUUUACUGGGCGUAAAGGGCGCGUAGGCGGCGCGACGAGUCACUUGUGAAAUCUCCGGGCUUAACCCGGAGCGGCCAAGUGAUACUGUCGUGCUAGAGUGCGGAAGGGGCUACUGGAAUUCUCGGUGUAGCGGUGAAAUGCGUAGAUAUCGAGAGGAACACCUGCGGCGAAGGCGGGUAGCUGGGCCGACACUGACGCUGAGGCGCGAAAGCCAGGGGAGCGAACGGG